UACGGAGGGGGCUAGCGUUGUUCGGAAUUACUGGGCGUAAAGCGAACGUAGGCGGCUUUGCAAGUUAGAGGUGAAAGCCCGGGGCUCAACUCCGGAACUGCCUUUAAAACUGCAUCGCUAGAAUUGUGGAGAGGUAAGUGGAAUUCCGAGUGUAGAGGUGAAAUUCGUAGAUAUUCGGAAGAACACCAGUGGCGAAGGCGACUUACUGGACACAUAUUGACGCUGAGGUGCGAAAGCGUGGGGAGCAAACAGG
Molecule: ribosomal RNA, 253 nt
Filed under: uncultured bacterium
Lineage: Bacteria
Description: partial 16S ribosomal RNA
Rfam family: Bacterial small subunit ribosomal RNA
Source: RNAcentral